Callorhinus ursinus (northern fur seal) is the source of this 756-nucleotide long non-coding RNA. RefSeq lists it as uncharacterized. The record is from RefSeq and is a predicted model, not a curated record. Lineage: Eukaryota; Metazoa; Chordata; Mammalia; Carnivora; Otariidae.
ACAGAGCACGCACGCCAUGCAGGCUUACCCACAAGAGGAACCCACGGUCGACAGUGUCAUCUGCUGAGAAGAGACAGGAUGGUAAGGAUGUGAUGUCUGAAGCUGCCGCAUUCAACUUGCCACCAUAAGGGAGCUAGCCUAAUGUGACAAGGAUGGCACAGUAGAAAGACAGAAAGAACCUGGAUCCUUGAGGACCCUGAUGAGCUACUGAAGUAACCAUGCUCUAUCUCAACUCUUAGGGGACUGGUGAGGAGCUCAGCGGCGGGGACUCCAAGGCGUCUGCGAGAGAGGCGGACCAAUCCUCAGAGUUCAACCAGCGCUGGGGAAGCUGCAAGGAAACGUGGAACACGACCUCUAUCUAGUGAAGGUCAUUUAUGUGGAAGCUGAGGAUUUAAGGCGUUGGUGGUGGGAAGGGCUGAAGCCCUCCAGGACGAGGGAGGCGGCUAUUGAGCGCCACCAUCUGGGCUGAACUUGAGCAGGCAAAGCUCCACCCACCCUGUAGCUUUUCAGUGCGCUUUUCUUGGGGGACCCAACUCCUCUGCUUUUGGAAGCUAAAGUAGCUGGAGAACCCUUGAAAAUCAAUGAGUCCUGUGUCUACAUGACCUGCGUGGCUUGACUGUGCGUUUUGGAUAUCUGUGUUCUUUACCCUUCCAACCAACCCUCCCUGAGUGCCAUGCUCUGUGCUGAAAAUAUCUGGGUGAAUCUCUGACUCUGCCACAGUCCAUACUUCCUUGAGCACUGAGAAUAAUGAAAAUU